CCUACGGGAGGCAGCAGUGGGGAAUAUUGGACAAUGGGCGCAAGCCUGAUCCAGCCAUGCCGCGUGUGUGAAGAAGGCCUUCGGGUUGUAAAGCACUUUUAUCCGGAAAGAAAAGCUUUGGGUUAAUACCCUGAAGUCAUGACGGUACCGGAAGAAUAAGCACCGGCUAACUUCGUGCCAGCAGCCGCGGUAAUACGAAGGGUGCGAGCGUUACUCGGAAUUACUGGGCGUAAAGCGUGCGUAGGUGGUUUGUUAAGUCUGAUGUGAAAGCCCUAGGCUCAACCUGGGAAUUGCAUUGGAUACUGGCAGGCUAGAGUGCGGUAGAGGAUAGUGGAAUUCCCGGUGUAGCAGUGAAAUGCGUAGAGAUCGGGAGGAACAUCUGUGGCGAAGGCGACUAUCUGGGCCAGCACUGACACUGAGGCACGAAAGCGUGGGGAGCAAACAGGAUUAGAUACCCUGGUAGUCCACGCCCUAAACGAUGCGAACUGGAUGUUGGGUGCAACUAGGCACUCAGUAUCGAAGCUAACGCGUUAAGUUCGCCGCCUGGGGAGUCGGUCGCAAGCUGAAACUCAAAGGAUUGACGGCUGAGAGNGCGAGGCGACGACGAGGGAGGAGG
This 616-nucleotide ribosomal RNA is filed under the name uncultured bacterium. RNAcentral's name for it is "bacterial SSU rRNA". It matches the Rfam family "Bacterial small subunit ribosomal RNA", at positions 338 to 947 of the family's 1533-position model. The record is from RNAcentral.